UUUUUUUUUUUUUUUUUUUUUUUUUUUUUUGAUACAGGGUCUUGCUCUGUUGCUUGGGCCAGGCUGCUCUCAAACUCCUGCUGAUCUACCUGCCUCAACCUCCCAAGUGCUGGGAUUAUAGGAUGUGUCACCAGGCCCGGCUGCUAUGCAUCUUUAGCGGUUCUGUCAUCCUGAAUUGAUUCAGAAUGUUGACCUUUCGUGGAAUUUCGACUUUAGGAUACAGUCAGAAGUCACAUCACAACAGAUGGCUGAGGACACAGGGUAAGACUCAGAUCCUCCCUAAUUUGAUAUCUCCACAGUGACCUGAAUCGGAAGGAGAAGGUGAGGAAAGAGUGAAAACUGCAUUCAAGAUGGCAGAUAAAGUGCUGCAUUUGAAGUCAGACUGGAAUUAUGGGGGUGAUGGAUGAACACUGGGAUUUUUGACAUAUUUCAAACAUCAAAAAUUUUGAUAGAGACUGUGUCAAGGCCUUUUGUCUCCUAGCUGGUGCAUGAUUAUCUAUUUCAGCUUUCACAAGAAUUUGACCGUGACUUCUCAACCACAAAAUAUCCCUGAACUAGGAAGAAAUGGACCCAG
This 574-nucleotide long non-coding RNA is filed under the name Fukomys damarensis (Damara mole-rat). Its description in RNAcentral is "lncRNA (ENSFDAG00000022199.1)". Lineage: Eukaryota; Metazoa; Chordata; Mammalia; Rodentia; Bathyergidae. The record is from RNAcentral.